RNAcentral lists this long non-coding RNA (935 nucleotides) under Homo sapiens (human). Its description in RNAcentral is "lung cancer associated transcript 1". The record is from RNAcentral. Lineage: Eukaryota; Metazoa; Chordata; Mammalia; Primates; Hominidae.
GAAACUGCUAAAGGGGCUGAAUGUGACUGACGUCUUUGGAAGGAUGAGACUUAGCGUGCCUGUACAGUUGUGUCCAAAUGCUGUCCUCAUCUCCCAAUGAAAAGCUGAACUAGGGCCAUGCCUGGGACAGACAGAGAAUGGCCUUCCAGCAGACAUGCCAAGAAGCAAGCCAGGGUCAGUGAGUGAAGAGGAGGGCAGGCCCAUUUGAAGCAACACAGUUUAUCAAGGAGUCUUUAGCAACAUGAAAACGAACGUGUGUUAUUUGCAAACCAAGUAUAUCAUUACUGAACCUGAAUAUCCUUACUUUUUCAUAAGAGCUGUGGCAAUUCCUUGAACCACACUGAUUGCUAUAAAGUGGAAGAGGAAUAGAUUGAAUUUUGGGGAGUCAACUACAAUGUGUACUACAGGAACAAAACCCAUCAGAAGAUGUCAGAAGAUAAGGAUUUUUGUCCUGAUGCUACACUUACCAGCUGUCCCUCAGUGUUCUACUUCUUAAAAAAAGAGAGAUGGAUAAACAGAGGCAACCCGAGGAUAAAGGCCUUGCUCAGUGUCACACAUUUCAGUCACUAAAUAAGACACAAUGGAUGCCAGUAUUCUCAUCCCCUCACAAAUAAAGAGCCUUCAAGCUCUUGCAGUCAACAAGAACUUUUGGAAUGAUUUCACUGCCUGAAAAGGCAGAUACAUAGGUGACACCCACAAAUAGGAAGAAAAUCAACCUGAACCUGAGUGUGUGGGCUCACUGACUCUAAGCAGUAGAGACAGAAGAAAAAGUUUUAGCAAAGAAGGGUUCUGAAAGAAAAUAAAUAUAGCUCGUUAUCAAGUGCUGUUUUUACACAGUAAAACAUGGGCAAAAUUACUCUUCUUUAAGUAGUAAUUCUUAUCUCUUGAUUAAGUCACCUACUCAUUCAUUUAAUAAAUACAUACUGAUUGUUUUC